CACACAAAGACAUCAUUUUACCUUACAGAUCUGCCCUAUUCUGGCAUGAGUGGCUUUUCCAGUGUGCUCUCCAUCAAUUGCAUUUUCACGGAAGAAGAAAUAGAUUUUGUCAUCUUCUGGAUUAUCACUUUCUGGUAUCAGAAUCAAUCUCUGCAUCAAGUAAGAAGUAUAUCCAAGUUAGAUUCAUGGUGUUAUUUGCUGAUGAAGAUAAGGCAACAAAUGAAAAUGUUUAAGUUUGCACUAGCUGUCCUGUGAAACCCAUUGCCUUAUUAAGAACAACAGUGUUUAAAUGGCCAUACUGACUUACACCAAGGUUUACUUAGAUCAAUAUACAGACUCCAGCAUCAACCUAAAGAAAUUAUCUGGGACAAAUUAAGAAUAUGAAAUGACUUGGGCAAACACAACAGAGGUCUCAUAGAGUCACUGUUUAGAAUGAAGCUCUUCAACAACACUACUGGCAUCGGAUUGGCACGCAGACCAACCAUGGCUGAGAUCUUAGCAGCUAUCACAAUGUAAGAAGGACUGUGGUGAUUCAUUGAUAUUGCAAUGGAAAUUCUCAACAGAAAGAGUUUUAAAGUUUGUCUACAUUUACAAAGUGGUGCUUUCGUCUUUCAGUCAAGCCAGACUGAUUCUGAGCAACCAUGAUUUUCUUAUACUGUUAGCUAUGAUAUGACACUGUUAGCUAUGUAUACAUAGAGAUGUAUAUGCAUCUCUAUAUGUAUAUGUAUAUAUAUAUAUGUAUAUAUAUGUAUAUAUAGAGAGAGACUAGUGGAACUAAUUUUGCUGACAUAGAUUAUCAAAUGGGCUAAUAAAUGAAAAGUUUAGCUAAGGUUUCUUGCAAUUAUAAUUGCCUUAAUAGUCUUUAUUAUUAUUAUUAUUAUUAUUGUUAUUGUUAUUGUUAUUAUUGUUAUUAUUGAUUCAUAACCCUUUGCAGAAUUGAAAGAGAAAUCUCCUUUGCACAGUUUGACUGUUCUGUUUCAGUGGAAAUCCGUGUGAAUUUUAUUCUGACAGAAAAAAAAAUUACGUAUUGUUACGGAUAAAAGGUAUUAAAAUAAUAUUAACAUAUAAUUCUUCCAUCAUUUCAAUGCACGAACUCUUCAGAAUAGCAAAUAAAAAGAUACACUACGCUUUUAUUCAUGUAAAUCCCUCCACAUCUUGGAGAUACUGUUUUGUACACGGCACCGGGAAUCUAGUCCUUGAGGCUUCUCUGUGCUUUGGCUGCGAGUGUCACAGCCACUAUGGUGUCAAGUGACUUCAAGGAGAGCAUAACUUUAAUUUACGGUAUUUAGCACCUCUAAGUUGUGUAAACGAGCCCCUGAGUACCAGCCAAGGCUUAUAUCUCCAGGCACUGCCACUACCCUGAUACCCCUUCUGCUACAGAGACAUAAUUCAGUAUGGAUAUUUCUUGUGAGGAACACUAGUUUACACAGGAAGGAGAAAGAAGAAAAUGUUGAUCUCUGAUGCAAUUAUCAGUUUCUGAAAUCUUUAUUCUAAAAAGACAACAA
Anas platyrhynchos (mallard) is the source of this 1505-nucleotide long non-coding RNA. RefSeq lists it as uncharacterized. Lineage: Eukaryota; Metazoa; Chordata; Aves; Anseriformes; Anatidae. The record is from RefSeq and is a predicted model, not a curated record.